GGAGCUGAUUUUGGCCGCGGUCUUUUAAUCUCUGGCUCUUCAACUCUUUGAAAUCCAAUGUCAUCUUCACAGGACUUCCUCGAGGAGAGAACAAUUCCCAAGGAGCAACUCCACAUGGUGGCAGAAGUACUCAACUGCAAGUGAAGGGACCUGCAUUCUACUUCUGCCUCUAGAAUCUGUAUCUAUGGCUGAGUCGUGGGAACUAUGGGCCAUCAAUUGACGAAAUCUGGCC
Molecule: long non-coding RNA, 232 nt
Organism: Ficedula albicollis (Collared flycatcher)
Lineage: Eukaryota; Metazoa; Chordata; Aves; Passeriformes; Muscicapidae
Exons: 3
Source: RefSeq, a predicted model, not a curated record